RNAcentral lists this ribosomal RNA (554 nucleotides) under Bacillus subtilis. Its description in RNAcentral is "bacterial SSU rRNA". It matches the Rfam family "Bacterial small subunit ribosomal RNA", at positions 73 to 611 of the family's 1533-position model. The record is from RNAcentral. Lineage: Bacteria; Bacillati; Bacillota; Bacilli; Caryophanales; Bacillaceae.
UGGGAGCUUGCUCCCUGAUGUUAGCGGCGGACGGGUGAGUAACACGUGGGUAACCUGCCUGUAAGACUGGGAUAACUCCGGGAAACCGGGGCUAAUACCGGAUGGUUGUUUGAACCGCAUGGUUCAAACAUAAAAGGUGGCUUCGGCUACCACUUACAGAUGGACCCGCGGCGCAUUAGCUAGUUGGUGAGGUAACGGCUCACCAAGGCAACGAUGCGUAGCCGACCUGAGAGGGUGAUCGGCCACACUGGGACUGAGACACGGCCCAGACUCCUACGGGAGGCAGCAGUAGGGAAUCUUCCGCAAUGGACGAAAGUCUGACGGAGCAACGCCGCGUGAGUGAUGAAGGUUUUCGGAUCGUAAAGCUCUGUUGUUAGGGAAGAACAAGUACCGUUCGAAUAGGGCGGUACCUUGACGGUACCUAACCAGAAAGCCACGGCUAACUACGUGCCAGCAGCCGCGGUAAUACGUAGGUGGCAAGCGUUGUCCGGAAUUAUUGGGCGUAAAGGGCUCGCAGGCGGUUUCUUAAGUCUGAUGUGAAAGCCCCCGGCUCA